AGAGUUUGAUCCUGGCUCAGGAUGAACGCUAGCGGCAGGCCUAAUACAUGCAAGUCGGGCGGCAAGUUGAGGAGCAAUCCGAGACCUAGAGCGGCGGACGGGUGCGUAACGCGUAUGCAACCUGCCCCUUACCGGGGGAUAGCCCGGGGAAACCCGGAUUAAUACCCCAUAGUAUUCAGACACCGCAUGGUGAUUGUAUUAAAGAUUCAUCGGUAGGGGAUGGGCAUGCGUAGGAUUAGUUAGUUGGCGGGGUAACGGCCCACCAAGACUUUGAUCCUUAGGGGUUCUGAGAGGAAGGUCCCCCACACUGGCACUGAGAUACGGGCCAGACUCCUACGGGAGGCAGCAGUAGGGAAUAUUGGGCAAUGGGCGGGAGCCUGACCCAGCCAUGCCGCGUGCAGGAAGAAGGCGUUAUGCGUUGUAAACUGCUUUUAUACGGGAAGAAAAGGCCCAUGCGUGGGACAUUGCCGGUACCGUGUGAAUAAGCACCGGCUAACUCCGUGCCAGCCGCCGCGGUAAUAC
This 522-nucleotide ribosomal RNA is filed under the name uncultured Flexibacteraceae bacterium. Its description in RNAcentral is "bacterial SSU rRNA". It matches the Rfam family "Bacterial small subunit ribosomal RNA", at positions 8 to 526 of the family's 1533-position model. The record is from RNAcentral. Lineage: Bacteria; Pseudomonadati; Bacteroidota; Cytophagia; Cytophagales; Cytophagaceae.